Molecule: long non-coding RNA, 991 nt
Organism: Strigops habroptila (Kakapo)
Lineage: Eukaryota; Metazoa; Chordata; Aves; Psittaciformes; Psittacidae
Exons: 3
Source: RefSeq, a predicted model, not a curated record
GCUUGUAUUUAUUUUUGUAAGCUUUGUAUAUUUUUUUUUACAUUUGAACAGCUGUUCAUGAGUAAAGAAACAUACAGGCCACUGAAAGGGCUUCACAUAAAUAUUAUGAAACACACUGAUUCAUGCAAGCAGCAACAGGCACUACUAGAGAAUAUUUAUCAAUAAAGUCUGUAUGCCAUUAGGUAGUUUUAGGGUAAGUUUAAAUGUAUCCAAGCAGGAAUACAGCUCAAAGCACAAACAACUUCAACAUCAAAUAAGCAGAAGAAAUCUGCUGGGGGUGAGGGAAUAAAAAUCUGUGCACAGUUAAACAGAUUUUUUUUUUUUUUUUUUUUUUUUAAAUUCUAGUAGCCAGAACCUGUCUUGUUUCAAGUCAAGAAGUUUAAAACCAGCACAUUAAAUCUGUGACUACUAACAAAGUUCCCAGAACAAAAUUCCAAGUAAGCCUACAGGAAAUACACCUGAGUGAUGGUCCUUCAGCUAAAAAUUUGGCAGAAUCAGUGUGGCAUCUUACUGCAGUGUUCAAGACAGUGAUACAUACAACUAUCAAAUGCUUGUCACAUGUAAGCCAGUUUAUAUUGAAACAUAAUGAGACAGUCAGUUAAACGAAUCAACACAGUCACUGCAAAAAAAUCACAGCCUUCCCAUUAAAGAUAAUAACCAUCUCAUAAGCUCUUAUGGAUGAUAUAUAGCACCAAUUACUUUCAGAUAAACUGGUUUAUCAUGUAAGUAAUGAUGACUGUACUAUCGUUGUCUCCAGCCAUCUGACUUCAGUCAACAUCUACCUUUCUCCUGACAUUUCUUAUUACAGAACGAUACAUGCAACCUAGCCUGCCUGCAACUCUGAAAAGUCACUCCCAAAUUGGAAAAAACAAAGAUGCCAUGUUUUUUACUUGGUCUGAACGUUAUGUGGAAGAAGUUGAUUAAUUUAGCUGCUUAAUUAGUUGUUCAGCCUUUUUUCCAUCCCCAGACUCUGAAAGAGACAUAAGGUAAU